UUAUCGCUCUCGGCCUUUUGGCUCAGAUCAAGUGUAGUAUCUGUUCUUAUCAGUUUAAUAUCUGAUACGUCCCCCAUCGGGGGACUACAUAUUAAAUGGAUUUUUCGAACAGGGAGUCGGAAAUGGGGCUUGCUCCGUCCGCUCCACGCAUCGACCCGGUAUUGCAGUACCUCCGGGAAUGGUGCAACACUU
RNAcentral lists this small nuclear RNA (192 nucleotides) under Salmo salar (Atlantic salmon). RNAcentral's name for it is "U2 spliceosomal RNA (ENSSSAG00000112826.1)". It matches the Rfam family "U2 spliceosomal RNA". From Rfam's summary of the family: U2 is a small nuclear RNA (snRNA) component of the spliceosome (involved in pre-mRNA splicing). Complementary binding between U2 snRNA (in an area lying towards the 5' end but 3' to hairpin I) and the branchpoint sequence (BPS) of the intron results the bulging out of an unpaired adenosine, on the BPS, which initiates a nucleophilic attack at the intronic 5' splice site, thus starting the first of two transesterification reactions that mediate splicing. The record is from RNAcentral. Lineage: Eukaryota; Metazoa; Chordata; Actinopteri; Salmoniformes; Salmonidae.